UUUGGACACAAUCGUAUGGUGUAAUGUUUUUCUGUUGGGAAUUUAAUAGAUUCUUUUAUAGCAAAAUUUUUUUAUGGACACAAUCGAGUUGUCGGGUAUCUGCUACAGUUUUGCCUCGGUGCUUUAUCUGUAACUUAAAGUUCAGAUUUUUUUUCCAGAGAUUUUAUCUCUGUGUUUUUGUUUUGUUUUGUGUGAGUGCUAUGUAUCUCCUAUAUACAUGCCUCGUUUGUUUUGUCUUUUCCAGGGAUGACAUCAUGUGCUUUUAUGCACUAUUCCCUGUGUUUUAUGUUUUGUUGCGAUGACGUCCAAUUUAUAUUGUGGCCAGCGACGUUUUUGUUCUGUGGUUUUUAACCCAGACAUUUUUUCUAGGGAUGACAUGUGUUGAAAUAUACACUUUCCCUAGGGCCCACUGGAUGGCUAUUCCAGAAAAUAUGUUAGUAAUGGCCGAAAUAGCCUUACAACGUUACUGGGGAUUCGAGUACCACUGGUUCACAGUUGGGACUCUAUGGGGAAUUUUGAAUGCAGGUGGCAAGCAGUAUAAUUUGAAACUGAUGCUUACAGGUAUGAAAGAGAGGUAUGAAAGAUGACUGUAUGUUAGUGUUGGGUUAUGCUCAGACAGCAGAGAUUGUUUUAGGUUUGAAGAACAUCAGUCCUGGUAGUUGGUUUUCAUCUGGUUUGUUUUGCUUAGUGAAAAGUCAGUUUGUUUUUGUUCCUGUUAUGUCAGCAUACCCUACAACUCGUUGUUUGUUUUCUAGAUUUUUUUUUUCAGUUGAAGUUUCUGCUGGAAUGUUUUCUUUUUGAGGUCUUUCUGCGUUUAGACACAUUUUUUUUUCUUUUUCAGUUUGUAGUUCGCUGAGGGCAGCUCAGAUUCUUUCUCCGUGCGAAUGUCUAGGGGGGAGGGUAUUGUAGCGUUGCAGUUUUGGCUGUUUUCACAAAUUGAUUUUCUUACUGGAUAUUUGGAUUUAGGAUACUACUAGCGACAUCUAUUGGCGUGAUUUUGAACUAAUUUGCAAUAGAUGGCGCUUUUUGCUCAGUCAAUUCAAAUAUAUUUUAUUGAAACAUUUCCUAAUGUUUUUGUUUUGAUUAUUCUAUUUUUUAAUAGAAUAUUUUCAGUGUUCAGGAGAUUGUUUUCAUCAUGGUUUUUAUUAGUAUUUGCUUUUUAUCUAAGCGGCGAAACGAAACGUUUCGCGAUGUCAAUGCGAGUCAUUGUCACUGUCAGUUGAGCUGUCAAAUCACUUUGGAAUUUUGGUCGAUCGUGCGCAACCGCAAUUUUAUUAUUUUCGGGGAUGUAAUCCCCUGUGUUUCAAAUCGUGUGUUGCAGAAUGCAUCCACGAUAAUUUCUUAAUAUAAUUUAAAAUAAUCACACAUGAGAAAUUCCCUAAAUUCUAUUCGGAUGAGGGUAUUGGGUUGCUGAGGGCUGCGAGCGAAGCUCAAAUUAGUGAACAGCCUUCAUGCGGGAUUUCAUAUUUCAUAUUUUACAUUUUAUAAUUUAAACAUAAUAUUUUGAUGAUAUUUCAUAUAUUUUAAUUUCUCUUCAUUUCGUAUGAAAUAUUUGUCCUUUCUAAACUGCUGAUCUCUUCGCAUUUCCUCCUUGUCAUCAAACCUCUGUCUCUGCAAGAGUUUGAACGCUUACCUGUCGAAGAGAUGCAAGAGCUUCAUCUGGCACUGCGCGCUUGAGGCCGUGGAGGACGCUGCUUGGAGCCUAAAAGUGUGCGAGACCCGUUGGACCCCGGAAGAAGAGAGGAACGUUCAGGGUAACGGCUUAUAACCGCAUGGCUUCCAAGGUACCCACUUUUCCAUCCUUCAAGUAGGAGUCUUUCCGACCUGACAUCGUGCAGUUAUCUUAACUAUUAGAGUCUUUUAAUAUUUAGGCUGAGUUUUAAGAAAUUUGUAGUGGCAAUAAUAUUCACCAAACCGAACCUAUUUAACGACCCUGAAUCCCUUGAGGUUGGCACUAUCUAUUACAGUGGUUAUAAUAUCUUAAUUGUUAACUGUAUAUGAGCAUACGAGAUAAAAAUAAAUUGUGUCAAUUGAGA
Long non-coding RNA from Ostrinia nubilalis (European corn borer), 2036 nucleotides. RefSeq lists it as uncharacterized. The transcript has 3 exons. NCBI's taxonomy places the organism in Eukaryota, Metazoa, Arthropoda, Insecta, Lepidoptera, Crambidae. The record is from RefSeq and is a predicted model, not a curated record.